GCCGCUGUGGCUCAGCUGGUAGAGCGACACCUUGGUAAGGUGUAGGUCGCGGGUUCAAAUCCCGCCAGCGGCU
This 73-nucleotide transfer RNA is filed under the name Thermoplasmatales archaeon. RNAcentral's name for it is "tRNA-Thr". It matches the Rfam family "tRNA". Rfam says of the family: Transfer RNA (tRNA) molecules are approximately 80 nucleotides in length. Their secondary structure includes four short double-helical elements and three loops (D, anti-codon, and T loops). RNAcentral also lists the same sequence under 1 other name. Lineage: Archaea; Methanobacteriati; Thermoplasmatota; Thermoplasmata; Thermoplasmatales. The record is from RNAcentral.